This 400-nucleotide unclassified non-coding RNA is filed under the name uncultured fungus. RNAcentral's name for it is "sequence contains ITS1". The stretch from base 1 to 105 matches the Rfam family "5.8S ribosomal RNA", at positions 50 to 154 of the family's 154-position model. The record is from RNAcentral. Lineage: Eukaryota; Fungi.
AAACUGCGAUACGUAGUGUGAAUUGCAGAAUUCAGUGAAUCAUCGAAUCUUUGAACGCAAAUUGCGCUGCUGGGCAUUCUUGGCAGCAUACUUGGCUGAGUAUCAUCUGGAUUUAUCACAAGCAAUUUUGUUUGUGGACAUGAGGUUUGUCACAUUGUAUAUUAACUAUACAGUGCGUCCCUUUAAAUUCAGUUUGAGGUGAAAAAGAAGGGCUUCUAGUCUUUUUUUUUGUUCUUUUUGCACCCACUAGUGUGUCAAUUGUCCCCUUUGUGGGCAUCAAGCACUAUGUCGGGAAGCAUUCGGACAAAAAAAGUUAUAAGGCUUUAAUGCUAUUUUCUUCUUUUUUUACUUUUCUUAACAACUUAAUUCUUAACGAAAUUUUGAUCUCAGCUCAAGUAAG